GUUGUCCAACAGAGAUGACAGCUUAGCCACCAUUCUCCUGUCACUCACCACCUUCACUGGGUCCAGAGGCCAUCCUAGAACAGGGCUGGCCCUCUGUUCAGUCUCUUCCUGUCCCCGGCAGAGAUGCUGCCGGGGGGUGUUUGUGUCUGUGGAAGUCUAUCACCAGCUCCUUGGUUUUUCCAGUGUUCCAAUUCUGCUGACACCAGUCCACAAAGUCUUGGGUCAGUUCUCUGUACUCCCUAUCAUCCCCAUCAGUAAUGAGGCCAACUACUGCAGAGUCAUCAGAGAACUUCUGCAGGAAGCACUGGGUGGAGUUGUGGGAGAAAUCAGCAGUGUAGAUGUUGAAGAGGAACAGAGCCAGAACUGUUCCCUUUUUUUUCUUUUUUUUCUUGUCACAUCAGUGUAAUAAGACCACUGCACAAGUUACAAAACAUAAACAGACCCCAGCCCUAUAUUUAAUAUUCCUCACGUUAUAUAUGAUACUGUGUGCAAUAUGGGGUAUUUAAGUUGCCUCCUCUAAGCCUUUUAAGCUCUGUGUUCAUUUUGAAGUUUACAGAUGGUUUACAGAAAACAGUUUCUUUUUGUUCCUUGCAGUCUCCCGUUUGGCUCUUUUGCCAUCAGAAUUGUUGUCUAAGGGCAAAGAAAGAUGCCCAACGGAUUUACUUUACCAAAUUGACCAUCCCAGCCUUGCCGUAAUGGUCCAUUUGAUUCACCUUUUAUUGUUUAGUUUAUUUUCAUUUACUGAAUACGGGACAGACUUGACUGGGGGAAAGAAGGGGAGAAAGAAAGAGGGAAAGAGAAACAGCUGAGAAGAGGGACGGGGGAGAAGGGCAAAAGACAAAAACCAACAGAAUGAGCAGAAAAAAAAAAAGAAGAAAAAAAUGCAUAUAUCAAUCACCUGGAUCACCUGCUGAGAAAGAAAAAAGAAAACAAGCAGAAGAGAACAAGAGUGAUUGAUAUAUGCAUUUUUUUUCUUUUUUUCUUCUUUUUUUUCUUUUUCUGCCCAUUCUGUUGGUUUUUGGUUUUUGCCCUUCUCCCCCGUCCCUCUUCUCAGCUGUUUCUCUUUCCCUCUUUCUUUCUCCCCUUCUUUCCCCCAGUCAAGUCUGUCCCAUGUUCAGUAAGUGAAAAUAAAAUAAACAAUAAAAGGUGAAUCAAAUGGACCAUUACGGCAAGGCUGGGAUGGUCAGUUUGGUAAAGUAAAUCCGUUGGGCAUCUUUCUUUGCCUUUAGACAACAAUUCUGAUGGCAAAAGAGCCAAACGGGACAGGCCAAAAAAAAAAAAAAAAAAAAAAGAUGGUCACUCACAGUGGACAUAGAUGGCUUCUUUCACUCCUCUUUCAAACCAUCUGUCCUCUCUGUCCAAAGUGUGAACAUUGGCAUCCUCGAAAGAGUGUCCUUUAUCCUUAAGAUGCAGAUGGACUGCUGAGUCUUGUCCUGUGGAGGUGGCUCUUCUAUGUUGUGCCAUUCGCUUGUGAAGUGGCUGUUUGGUCUCUCCAAUGUAGAGGUCUGGGCAUUCCUCGCUGCACUGUACAGCUACACCUUAGAAAUGAAGAAGCUUCUCGGAUGAGAGGUGAAACGUCUUCAAGCAACCUAAAUAAGUCCAGACACUUUUCUUUGCAAGCUCCUUAGACUACGAUGACCUGGAUGACUGAGAACCUUCACAGACACUUUACCAUCAUGGUUUUUGUCUUUCUGUGCAAUUAAAAAAACAUCAUCUUCUUGGGACACCAAGUGAAAUAAAGUUCACCAGAAGAAAAAGGCAUAUUUUCAUCGUGUGUUACUAGCCAAUGUGUUCUACAUUCCUACAGGUUUCACUUUAUUAAAACAUAUACUCAUUUGGAAUUUGAUGCAAGCUCUGUGAUAGAUUGUGACAGUACUAAAGACUAUUUCUACUAUUUUUAAUUCAUCAUAAUGUCACCUCUUCUUCUGACAAUGCUUUGUAAGUGUUGUGGAACUCAGUCGUGGUUUAGCAUUGCAGCAUAAAUCAUUAAGUAUUAAUGAUGUUUUUCAAAUGUUCAAAUUAACCAUGAUUAUAUAUACUCUGAACUGUCUUUUCCUAUUGCAGCAAUGCCUGACAGCCCAAAUAAUCUCCAUUCAGUGUCCCUUUUUA
Molecule: long non-coding RNA, 2109 nt
Organism: Astatotilapia calliptera (eastern happy)
Lineage: Eukaryota; Metazoa; Chordata; Actinopteri; Cichliformes; Cichlidae
Source: Ensembl